This 477-nucleotide ribosomal RNA is filed under the name uncultured bacterium. RNAcentral describes it as "bacterial SSU rRNA". It matches the Rfam family "Bacterial small subunit ribosomal RNA", at positions 29 to 506 of the family's 1533-position model. The record is from RNAcentral.
GUGAACGCUGGCGGCGUGCCUAACACAUGCAAGUCGAACGAUGAUGGAGAGCUUGCUCUCCUGAUUAGUGGCGCACGGGUGAGUAUACCAUAGAUAAUGUACCUCUUAGUUUGGGAUAGCCACUGGAAACGGUGAUUAAUACCAGAUACUCCUUCUCGUUAUAAGACGAGUCGGGAAAGUUUUUUCGCUAAGAGAUCAGUCUAUGUCCUAUCAGCUAGUUGGUGAGGUAAUGGCUCACCAAGGCUAUGACGGGUAUCUGGUUUGAGAGGAUGAUCAGACACACUGGAACUGAGACACGGUCCAGACUCCUACGGGAGGCAGCAGUGAGGAAUAUUGCACAAUGGAGGAAACUCUGAUGCAGCAACGCCGCGUGGAGGAUGACGCAUUUCGGUGUGUAAACUUCUUUUGUACGGGACGAAACCCCUGAACGUGUUCGGGGCUGACGGUACUGUACGAAUAAGCAUCGGCUAACUCCGU